UACGGAAGGCAGCAGUGGGGAAUAUUGCACAAUGGGCGCAAGCCUGAUGCAGCCAUGCCGCGUGUAUGAAGAAGGCCUUCGGGUUGUAAAGUACUUUCAGUCGUGAGGAAGGUGUUAAGGUUAAUAACCUUAGCAAUUGACGUUAGCGACAGAAGAAGCACCGGCUAACUCCGUGCCAGCAGCCGCGGUAAUACGGAGGGUGCGAGCGUUAAUCGGAAUUACUGGGCGUAAAGGGCACGCAGGCGGUUAAUUAAGUUGGAUGUGAAAUCCCCGGGCUUAACCUGGGAAUGGCAUUCAAGACUGGUUAGCUAGAGUCUUGUAGAGGGGGUAGAAUUCCAUGUGUAGCGGUGAAAUGCGUAGAGAUGUGGAGGAAUACCGGUGGGCGAAGGCGGCCCCUGGGACAAAGACUGACGCUCAUGUGCGAAAGCGUGGGGGAGCAAACAGGGAUUAGAUACC
Molecule: ribosomal RNA, 456 nt
Filed under: uncultured bacterium
Lineage: Bacteria
Description: bacterial SSU rRNA
Rfam family: Bacterial small subunit ribosomal RNA
Source: RNAcentral